RNAcentral lists this ribosomal RNA (305 nucleotides) under uncultured bacterium. RNAcentral's name for it is "bacterial SSU rRNA". It matches the Rfam family "Bacterial small subunit ribosomal RNA", at positions 333 to 654 of the family's 1533-position model. The record is from RNAcentral.
UAUUGCCUACGGGACGCAGCAGUGGGGAAUAUUGCACAAUGGGGGGAACCCUGAUGCAGCGACGCCGCGUGGGUGAAGGAGUAUUUCGGUAUGUAAAGCCCUAUCAGCAGGGAAGAACAAUGACGGUACCUGACUAAGAAGCCCCGGCUAACUACGUGCCAGCAGCCGCGGUAAUACGUAGGGGGCAAGCGUUAUCCGGAUUUACUGGGUGUAAAGGGAGCGUAGGCGGUGAUGCAAGUCAGAAGUGAAAGCCCGCAGCUCAACUGCGGGACUGCUUUUGAAACUGUAUGACUAGGUUGCAGGAG